Falco peregrinus (peregrine falcon) is the source of this 2693-nucleotide long non-coding RNA. RefSeq lists it as uncharacterized. The transcript has 3 exons. The record is from RefSeq and is a predicted model, not a curated record. NCBI's taxonomy places the organism in Eukaryota, Metazoa, Chordata, Aves, Falconiformes, Falconidae.
AAACAGGAUUGCCAUCUUUGUUUCAGUACAUACCAUUGUUCCCAGCACACAAAUACUGUCUUUCUGCAUGAUGCUCCCACCAAGAUGCAGUCAGACUGCUUCUAAUCCUUGGAACACUGGCUGAAACAAGAGGAGGAGGUUUUAUGGAAGCUUACCCAUACGACUUACCAAGAUGACAAAAUCCUCACUAGCUACGGAUGGGCUGCUUUGCACUGCUGUGUCAGAAAACUUCCCGAGAAACAAGCAAAGAGCCAGUGACCUGAGGAAACAGCAGAUAAUCAGCUUUAUUUUCUCCCUGAGUGGAUUUUAACACAUGGGUCACAUUGACCGUGGCCUGAAGUCUCUGAGACAGCAUUUCACAAGACCUACUUGUUCAUCAGCAGCAUGAAAUUCCCAGUUGGUGCCCAGUUUCCUGGAACCACUUGUGUGUGAUAGCUUCUGUACUUAUUUGUCUGAAAAGUAAGAUAUCACCACGGGAAAACUAAGGCUCUCCUAUCAGCCUCUCUAUUUACACUAUGCUUGCAGAAGGAUCUAAUAAAAGCAGAAGACUGGUUUUUAUUAUUUCAGCAAGAUCUCAGCAGCAGAGAGCAGUAGAGGGAGAAAGACUUUGAUAACUGGGUUUUAUGACCAAUAAAGAAAAUAUUGUUAGAAGUUUGUACUUGCUGACAUGUUUAUGACUUCCAGGUAAAUAUGCACUGUUUUACCUCCCUGUCAGGGUGCCACAGAGCCCGGGGCUCCCUGGGGACCCCCAUGGUGGCAGGCAGCACCCGGCAGCCUGAACCUGUCCCACCCCACACCAGGGAGCUGAGCAGCCCCAGCCCUGGGCGCCUCCCUGAGGAAUGGGACAGGCCGAGGCCAGGACGCUGGCACAUGGACGGGGUCCCAAUCAGCAGGGUCCAUGGCCAGGCAGGGCAGGGCCUGAUGGCCUUGGCGGGCUGAAAUGGGGUCCUGGGCCAUGGGCAGGGUGGGCUGGGCUGUAAGUGUGGCUGGUGCCCUCAGGCCCUGAUGCUUGAGAUACCUUAUAUGCUUAUAAAUGAUUUCUUGUCCCCUAAGGAUGCUGCUGCAAAUUAUGGAAAUAACAACUUCCAAAAACAAAAUGGGAAUUUUAGCAUAUCUCUCUGCAGUAAUUUGUUGUUUUCAUUUAAGCUCAUUUGUCCCAGGCUGAAGAUCCCUUGACCCUCAAUUUAGGAUGUAAGGGGGCUCUAGGGAGGGAUAAUGGGGGGAGGCGGGGGAGCAACCAGGCUUCAACUAAAAAGCAGCAGGCUAAAAUCGAGUCUCUUCUGCUCUGGGUUUGGUUAUUUCAGGUCCUGGAACUACUGAGACCCAAACCCCACUGGGUAAUGAGCAGGGCACGACGCACUGAAAUCAUCCUGUCCUCAUUUUGCCGGUGGCUGUCUGUCUCAUACAGACAUGCUCGUUUCUUCCACCCACAUGUGAAUAAUGCUGGCUGGUUUCUGGCUCACAGAGUGUGCAAUGGGAAGGGAGCACAGGCACCUCGUGUGGGGCCCAGCGCUGCUUUGGGAGCCAGUCUCUAACCCUGAGUGAUCACAGCAUUGAGCCCCUCAGCAGCUUCGGUCCUUCAUGGAUAGAGCUAGUUAUUCUUGAAAAGUGGCAAUUAAGUGGCACUGAUCUGGAAGACAAAUAAUGCAGUACUGGAAACUCUAUAUUAGGAGCAUAUAUACAUAUUUAUAUAUAUUUAUAUCUAAUAUAUAUAUUCAUUUAUUUUUAAUAGAAGAGGUAGGAUUAAUUUCAUCCAGUUUUAGACAUCUAUAGCAUAAAUACUUGUAUUUCCUAGUCACCCCCAGCUCCCUUCACCGUCAACAGAGGAAGACAGGCACCUCUAGGGCAUGACUCAUUCAGCCUGUUUUUAGAUGUCUACCUAGAAAGACAGAAAUCCUGCCCUCUGAGGGACUGCUUCUCUCCUCAACUGACUAAUUAUCUUGGAUGCAGACACACCUGUAGGGGCUUCUCACUCCCAGUAAUCAAGGGAGGAAGAUCAGCUUAACCCAAACCCUUCCCCAUGGGAAACCUUCACACCUACCCACACACAGACACACAGAGCCUUGGGAGCUGGUUGAAAGACCCUUUAUAGUAAAUUCAACACCUCUGAGCAGGGGACUUAUUAAAUCUACUUAAGUUUUAACUUAAAACAAUGUUAUUUGCAGCAUCUUAAUCCCAUAACUUUCCACCAGCACAGCUGAGUCAGUUCUGUUACAGAUACAGCUGAAGCCUCCCUUUUGUGAAACUAGCCCAAGCCUACUGCCCAGGGAUCUCUGGGUGAGAAGAAACAUGAUGGACUUCUUCCUCUAAAUAUGUGAAUUGAAUAUGCUGAGCUGGAGCUAUCACAUAUGUCACAAAUAAUGCUGCUGCUGGAGGUACAUCCCUGCACUCCCUGGAGUGCAAGCCGAGGAGGGCUCUGCAGGAACCCAGUGGGGAAAAAGACCAAGGUUGCCUCUGGUUUAUCACUCAUUGGGGAAGCGGCACUAGCAAAAGAUCUAGAACGCAUAUUCUACUGUGAUCACUGCACCUAGCAAGUUUGCAUUAACUAGUCACAACCAUAUUUUGCACCAAAUUCUUAAAUUAAGAGAGGUUUUCCUCUCACAUAGCAGCUGAAAUAAAGACAUCAGGACUCAAACAUUUAAUAAAAGAUGUUUUCUGUCAUAGCUGUAACAGGAAACAGUGAUUACUAUAAC